AGCGAACGCUGGCGGCAGGCCUAACACAUGCAAGUCGAACGAACUCUUCGGAGUUAGUGGCGGUCGGGUGAGUAACACGUGGGAACGUGCCUUUAGGUUCGGAAUAACUCAGGGAAACUUGUGCUAAUACCGAAUGUGCCCUUCGGGGGAAAGAUUUAUCGCCUUUAUAGCGGCCCGCGUCGGAUUAGCUAGUUGGGGAGGUAAGGGCUCACCAAGGCGACGAUCAGUAGCUGGUCUGAGAGGAUGAUCAGCCACAUUGGGACUGAGACACGGCCCGAACUCCUGCGGGAGGCAGCAGUGGGGAAUCUUGCGCAAUGGGCGAAAGCCUGACGCAGCCAUGCCGCGUGAAUGAUGAAGGUCUUAGGAUUGUAAAAUUCUUUCACCGGGGACGAUAAUGACGGUACCCGGAGAAGAAGCCCCGGCUAACUUCGUG
RNAcentral lists this ribosomal RNA (433 nucleotides) under uncultured bacterium. RNAcentral's name for it is "partial 16S ribosomal RNA". It matches the Rfam family "Bacterial small subunit ribosomal RNA", at positions 29 to 507 of the family's 1533-position model. The record is from RNAcentral.